GAUGAACGCUAGCUACAGGCUUAACACAUGCAAGUCGAGGGGUAACGAGAGGAAAGCUUGCUUUCCUUGUCGACGACCGGCGCACGGGUGAGUAACGCGUAUCCAACCUGCCCCCAACUAGGGAAUAACCUUGCGAAAGUAAGACUAAUACCCUAUAAUUUCCUCAGAUGUCAUCUGACGAGGAAUAAAGAUUUAUCGGUUGUGGAUGGGGAUGCGUCUGAUUAGCUUGUUGGCGGGGUAACGGCCCACCGAGGCAACGAUCAGUAGGGGUUCUGCGAGGAAGGUCCCCCCCAUUGGAACUGAGACACGGUCCAAACUCCUACGGGAGGCAGCAGUGAGGAAUAUUGGUCAAUGGGCGGAAGCCUGAACCAGCCAAGUAGCGUGCAGGAUGACGGCCCUAUGGGUUGUAAACUGCUGUUAUACAGGAAUAAAGUUAGCCACGUGUGGUUAUUUGUAGGUACUGUAUGAAUAAGGACCGGCUAAUUCCGUGCCAGCCGCCGCCGUAA
RNAcentral lists this ribosomal RNA (506 nucleotides) under uncultured bacterium. Its description in RNAcentral is "partial 16S ribosomal RNA". It matches the Rfam family "Bacterial small subunit ribosomal RNA", at positions 28 to 523 of the family's 1533-position model. The record is from RNAcentral.